RNAcentral lists this ribosomal RNA (967 nucleotides) under Scolecobasidium leishanicola. RNAcentral describes it as "partial large subunit ribosomal RNA". It matches the Rfam family "Eukaryotic large subunit ribosomal RNA", at positions 1 to 991 of the family's 3401-position model. Lineage: Eukaryota; Fungi; Ascomycota; Dothideomycetes; Venturiales; Sympoventuriaceae. The record is from RNAcentral.
UGAUUUUUUAUACCCGGUGGAACUUAAGCAUAUCAAUAAGCGUGAGGAAAAGAGAGACCAACCGGGAUUGCCCCAGUAACGGCGAGUGAAGCGGCAACAGCUCAAAUUUGAAAUCUGGGGUCAUUCUGGCCUCCGAGUUGUAAUUUGCAGAGGGAGCCUCGGAGGGCGAGACGGUCCAAGUGCCUUGGAACAGGAUACCGCAGAGGGUGAGAGUCCCGUAUCCGGCCGAUCUUGCGCUCCGUGUGAGGCCUCUUCGACGAGUCGAGUUGUUUGGGAAUGCAGCUCUAAGCGGGUGGUAAAUUCCAUCUAAAGCUAAAUACGGGCCAGAGACCGAUAGCGAACAAGUAGAGUGAUCGAAAGAUGAAAAGCACUUUGAAAAGAGAGUCAAACAGUACGUGAAAUUGUUGAAAGGGAAGCGCAUGGGGGCAGACUUGGUCGCGGGGUUCAGGGUGUCUUUUGGCGCCUGUACUUCCCCGCGGACAGGCCAGCAUCGGUUCUGGGGGGCGGACAAAGGCGGCGGGAACGUGGCUCCCCUCGGGGCGUGUUAUAGCCCGCCGUGCAAUGCGUCCACCCGGGACCGAGGACCGCGCUUCGGCAAGGAUGCUGGCGUAAUGGCCUCAUGCGGCCCGUCUUGAAACACGGACCAAGGAGUCUAACAUCUAUGCGAGUGUUUGGGUGAUAAGCCCGGGCGCGCAAUGAAAGUGAACGGAGGUGGGAGCAUGUCAAAGUGCGCAGCAUCGACCGAUCCGGACGUUUUCUGAAGGAUUUGAGUAAGAGCAUAGCUGUUGGGACCCGAAAGAUGGUGAACUAUGCGUGAAUAGGGUGAAGCCAGAGGAAACUCUGGUGGAGGCUCGCAGCGGUUCUGACGUGCAAAUCGAUCGUCAAAUUUGCGUAUAGGGGCGAAAGACUAAUCGAACCAUCUAGUAGCUGGUUCCUGCCGAGUCCCCCUCAGAGGAAAGAAACACAG